Molecule: long non-coding RNA, 936 nt
Organism: Pogoniulus pusillus (Red-fronted tinkerbird)
Lineage: Eukaryota; Metazoa; Chordata; Aves; Piciformes; Lybiidae
Exons: 5
Source: RefSeq, a predicted model, not a curated record
CGCCACCGCCGCAGGUAGUCGAGGCUCCGCUGCUCGCGCGCCGCCAUCCCGCGCCGCCCGGUAACCGCCGCCGCCGAGACGCUGCGUGAGAUGCAGAAAGACAACUUGAGAACAGUUUACCCAAGUGUAAUGCCAUGGAAGAGUGCAGCCAGGCCCACGACGGGUGUCAUCACCGCUCCCAGCCACCCACAGGGGCACCCAGAAGCAGAGUACGCUUCAAGAAAUGUAGAAGAUGCCCCAGAGAAAGCCCUGGUGUGCAACUGCAACAACGAUGGGACACCUGUGUCUCCCCGCACCCACGCACUGCUGGCAGAACAGAGCAAGCCAACACAGCAGAGCUUAAAGGUGUUUUCACAGAAUCACAGAAGGUCAGGCGCUGGAAGGGACCUCGAAGGCUCAUCCAGACCAACUCCUUGCCAGAGCAGGAUCACCUAGACCAGCUCACACAGGAACACAUCCAGCAUGCUGCAACACGUCACAAACUGGAUGGGGAACGUCCCCACAGGAGCAGAUUUAAUCACUACAGCAGUCACAAUUUGAACUCAGAACCUUUUGUGUUUAUCUGUAAGACUUCCUCAGACUGCACUCAGCUAUAGAUCCAGCCUGUGCACUGUGAACAGAAUCAACCAGGUUGGAAGAGACCUCCCAGCUCAUCCAGCCCAACCUAGCACCCAGCCCUGGCCAAGCAACCAGACCAUGGCACUAAGUGCCCCAGCCAGGCUUGGCUUGAAAGCGACUCCACCACCUCCCUGGGCAGCCCAUUCCAAUGCCAAUCACUCUCUGCCAACAAACUCCUCCUAACAUCCAGCCUAGACCUCCCCUGGCACGACUUGAGACUGUGACCCCUUGUUCUGUUGCUGGGUGCCUGGGAGAAGAGCCCAACCCCACCUGGCUGCAGCCUCCUUUUGUAAAUAAAAUUUCAUUUAACUUACAAAA